GGAGGUAUAGCUCAGUGGUCGAGCGUGUGCUUGGCAUGCACGAGGUCCUGGGUUCAAUCCAGGGACCACGU
This 71-nucleotide transfer RNA is filed under the name Camelus ferus (Wild Bactrian camel). It matches the Rfam family "tRNA". From Rfam's summary of the family: Transfer RNA (tRNA) molecules are approximately 80 nucleotides in length. Lineage: Eukaryota; Metazoa; Chordata; Mammalia; Artiodactyla; Camelidae. The record is from Rfam by way of RNAcentral.